Molecule: ribosomal RNA, 470 nt
Filed under: uncultured Bacteroidota bacterium
Lineage: Bacteria; Pseudomonadati; Bacteroidota
Description: bacterial SSU rRNA
Rfam family: Bacterial small subunit ribosomal RNA
Source: RNAcentral
GUGCCAGCAGCCGCGGUAAUACGGAGGGUGCAAGCGUUGUCCGGAAUCACUGGGCGUAAAGGGUGCGCAGGCGGGGCAGCAAGUCGGAGGUGAAAGCCCGUGGCUCAACCACGGAAGUGCCUUCGAAACUGUUGCUCUUGAGUCCCGGAGAGGUUGCCGGAAUUCGUGGUGUAGCGGUGAAAUGCGUAGAUAUCACGAGGAACACCAGAGGCGAAAGCGGGCAACUGGACGGGUACUGACGCUCAGGCACGAAAGCGCGGGGAGCAAACAGGAUUAGAUACCCUGGUAGUCCGCGCCGUAAACGAUGAAUGCUCGCCGUUAUCCCGCUUAAGGGAUAGUGGCUAAGCUAACGCGUUAAGCAUUCCGCCUGGGGAGUACGAUCGCAAGGUUGAAACUCAAAGGAAUUGACGGGGGCCCGCACAAGCGGUGGAGCAUGUGGCUCAAUUCGAUGCAACGCGCAGAACCUUACC